CCGAUUCUUUUUUACCAUUAAACUAGCAAAUAUUUCAUACCGGCCGUUAAAAGUUAUCAAUUUUGUGAGCUUUUGAUCGUAAGGUAAAUGAUAUCGAAAAAUUAUAAAAUUUGAUUUCUAGAAGUUUUAAAUGCUCUAAAUAAUGUUUAACAGUAUGGAUCGUCGAUUCGGAAGCUCUAUCAUCGAAAAUAAUUUAUGAGUACGAGGGCGAUCGUACUCAUAAGAGUAUAGUAGCCGAAUUCUAUAUAUACAUAUAUAUUGAGACAGGUUUUGGCGGUAGGCC
RNAcentral lists this long non-coding RNA (283 nucleotides) under Ananas comosus (pineapple). RNAcentral's name for it is "long non-coding RNA (ACOM_LNC039781)". The record is from RNAcentral. Lineage: Eukaryota; Viridiplantae; Streptophyta; Magnoliopsida; Poales; Bromeliaceae.